This 591-nucleotide long non-coding RNA is filed under the name Monodelphis domestica (gray short-tailed opossum). Its description in RNAcentral is "lncRNA (ENSMODG00000050810.1)". The record is from RNAcentral. Lineage: Eukaryota; Metazoa; Chordata; Mammalia; Didelphimorphia; Didelphidae.
CAGCAGAGUAAAGAUUCUGGAAUUCUGCAGGAAGGGUUAAGCUGUUACUAAGGGACAGUUAGGUGUCUCUCUCUGGAUUUUCCUGGGGAGACUGGCUUCCUAUCCUGUAGUUGCAAAUCUACCCUGAUUUCCCUUCCUACUUGUAGACUUGUUUUUAUCUGUUGUGUUUCCUGGUUAUCCUGGCUGUAAGACCAGGUUUGAGGUCUUUCGGAUCCAGGAUCUAUCCUUGGGCCCUGCCUAACUGCCAUUGAACACUACCUCUAAUACCACCUAAGUUAAUUUCAGAAUUCCUGAAUAAUGAGUAAACACCAUUAGACUGCAAAAUAUGGAAGGUAGCAUUACACUGCUGACAAAAUACUGCUGGCCUUUAAUGUUUCAGAAGGAGGUUCCACCGAGAUCCGAAGUCCCAGCUACCUGAGCCCUCCUGCUAACAAGGACCAGGAGACUUGAGGUACCUCACACAACCCAUUUGGGGUUGGGUCAGGAGUUUGGCUAGCAAGGGCCAGGUAAGUGGCUUUCGGAAGUAGGACUCAUCUCGUGUUUGGGGGUGACUCGCUCUUUAAUUAAGGGAUUGUUGGUUGGGCCUCUGUG